GUAGGUGAACCUGCGGAAGGAUCAUUAGAAAGUGAAGGGCCUCAGGGGCCGGCUAAAAAACCUGAACGACCCCCUACUGGAAGUGCCCCCGGCGACGUCAUGCUUCCCAUGACAUAAUGCCGCGCGUGGUGCCAACAGUUUACCCUCUGUAAAAACCCUUUGUUGCUUCGGCAGCGCCUCCCGGCCCCUAAAGGCCGCGGGGGGGUCAGCCUGCCGGUGGCACGCUUUGAAAACCCUUCAGUGAAAACAA
RNAcentral lists this unclassified non-coding RNA (250 nucleotides) under plant metagenome. Its description in RNAcentral is "partial contains small subunit ribosomal RNA, internal transcribed spacer 1, and 5.8S ribosomal RNA". The record is from RNAcentral.